ACGCACAGCGAAAGGUGCUUGCACCUUUCAAGUGAGUGGCGAACGGGUGAGUAACACGUGGACAACCUGCCUCAAGGCUGGGGAUAACAUUUGGAAACAGAUGCUAAUACCGAAUAAAACUUAGUGUCGCAUGACACAAAGUUAAAAGGCGCUUCGGCGUCACCUAGAGAUGGAUCCGCGGUGCAUUAGUUAGUUGGUGGGGUAAAGGCCUACCAAGACAAUGAUGCAUAGCCGAGUUGAGAGACUGAUCGGCCACAUUGGGACUGAGACACGGCCCAAACUCCUACGGGAGGCUGCAGUAGGGAAUCUUCCACAAUGGGCGAAAGCCUGAUGGAGCAACGCCGCGUGUGUGAUGAAGGCUUUCGGGUCGUAAAGCACUGUUGUAUGGGAAGAACAGCUAGAAUAGGAAAUGAUUUUAGUUUGACGGUACCAUACCAGAAAGGGACGGCUAAAUACGUGCCAGCAGCCGCGGUAAUACGUAUGUCCCGAGCGUUAUCCGGAUUUAUUGGGCGUAAAGCGAGCGCAGACGGUUUAUUAAGUCUGAUGUGAAAGCCCGGAGCUCAACUCCGGAAUGGCAUUGGAAACUGGUUAACUUGAGUGCAGUAGAGGUAAGUGGAACUCCAUGUGUAGCGGUGGAAUGCGUAGAUAUAUGGAAGAACACCAGUG
Molecule: ribosomal RNA, 666 nt
Filed under: Leuconostoc mesenteroides
Lineage: Bacteria; Bacillati; Bacillota; Bacilli; Lactobacillales; Lactobacillaceae
Description: bacterial SSU rRNA
Rfam family: Bacterial small subunit ribosomal RNA
Source: RNAcentral